UACGUAGGGUGCGAGCGUUGUCCGGAAUUAUUGGGCGUAAAGGGCUCGUAGGCGGUUUGUCGCGUCGGGAGUGAAAACACCGGGCUUAACUCGGUGCUUGCUUUCGAUACGGGCAGACUAGAGGUAUGCAGGGGAGAACGGAAUUCCUGGUGUAGCGGUGAAAAUGCGCAGAUAUCAGGAGGAACACCGGUGGCGAAGGCGGUUCUCUGGGACGGUACUGACGCUGAGACGCGAAAGCGUGGGGAGCAAACAGG
Molecule: ribosomal RNA, 254 nt
Filed under: uncultured bacterium
Lineage: Bacteria
Description: partial 16S ribosomal RNA
Rfam family: Bacterial small subunit ribosomal RNA
Source: RNAcentral